Molecule: unclassified non-coding RNA, 723 nt
Filed under: Hevea brasiliensis (rubber tree)
Lineage: Eukaryota; Viridiplantae; Streptophyta; Magnoliopsida; Malpighiales; Euphorbiaceae
Source: RNAcentral
AUUGGAUUUAUGGUUGUGAUAAUGUUAAGGUUGUGGCUAUGCAGUACUACUCUAACAUUUAUAACACUACUCACACUGUCAUCAAUGAUGAUAUGAUGCACAAUUUUAGUCCAUGUGUCACACCAUAUAUGAAUAAUGAGUUGAUCAAGCCUAUCUCUAUGGCAGAGAUAAAAAAAAAAAGGCAAUUGUUUUCUACCAAUCCCUCUAAAGCUCCUAGGAUGAUAGUUUCACUGGCCUAUUCUAUCAACCUUCUUGGCACAUUCUAAAGGAAGAUUUUUAUAGCAACUGUAUUUGAAUUUUUCAAUACUAGUAAAAUGCUUAGGGAUUUUAAUCAUAAUUUGUUAUCUUUAAUCCCAAGGUUUAAAAUGUGCAGACUAUGAAGGAACUUCAUCUUAUUGGCUUAUUCUCAGUAUUUUAUAAGAUUAUUUCUAAGAUCUUGGUUCAUAAGUUGUAACCCUUCAUGGCCAUAUCUCACUUAUAUGAUUACUAAAUUGGGUUUUCAUUCGUGGUGUAUCUCAUGGAUCAUGGAGUGUGUUUCAUCAGUCUCUUACUCUGUUUAAUUAAAUGGACAUCAAAACAAAUUGAUUACUCCCACAAGAGGUGUUAGACAAGGUGGUCUCUUAUCUCGUUAUCUCUCUUUAUUCUGUGUAGAAGGUUUGUCUCUGUAAGACCCCUCAUCCGUCUACAGUGUAAUCGAGUAAAGUGUGCUACAUUCGGUGCCGG